This 201-nucleotide ribosomal RNA is filed under the name Klebsiella pneumoniae IS33. RNAcentral's name for it is "Large Subunit Ribosomal RNA; lsuRNA; LSU rRNA". It matches the Rfam family "Bacterial large subunit ribosomal RNA", at positions 1 to 202 of the family's 2925-position model. Lineage: Bacteria; Pseudomonadati; Pseudomonadota; Gammaproteobacteria; Enterobacterales; Enterobacteriaceae. The record is from RNAcentral.
GGUUAAGCGACUAAGCGUACACGGUGGAUGCCCUGGCAGUCAGAGGCGAUGAAGGACGUGCUAAUCUGCGAAAAGCGUCGGUAAGGUGAUAUGAACCGUUAUAACCGGCGAUGUCCGAAUGGGGAAACCCAGUGCAAUUCGUUGCACUAUCGUUAACUGAAUACAUAGGUUAACGAGGCGAACCGGGGGAACUGAAACAUC